UGGAAAUGGAAAUGGGGAAUGUGUCAAAGAGACAACAACCCGACCAAAUAAAAAACAACAGCAGAGGGUCACCAACAGGUCUUCAAUGUAGCGAGAAAUUCCCGCACCCGGAGGCGUCCUUCAGCUGGCCCCUAAACAAAUAUAUACUAGUCCAGUGAUAAUGAACGCCAUACUAAUUUCCAAAUUGUACACAAGAAACUAAAAUUAAAAUAAUACAAGACUAACAAAGGCCAGAGGCUCCUGACUUGGGACAGGCUCAAAAAUGCGGCGGGGUUAAACAUGUUUGUGAGAUCUCAACCCUCCCCCUAUACCUCUAACCAAUGUAGUAAAGUAAACGCAUAACAAUACGCAC
Molecule: long non-coding RNA, 352 nt
Filed under: Mytilus galloprovincialis (Mediterranean mussel)
Lineage: Eukaryota; Metazoa; Mollusca; Bivalvia; Mytilida; Mytilidae
Source: RNAcentral